RNAcentral lists this ribosomal RNA (574 nucleotides) under uncultured bacterium. Its description in RNAcentral is "partial 16S ribosomal RNA". It matches the Rfam family "Bacterial small subunit ribosomal RNA", at positions 355 to 920 of the family's 1533-position model. The record is from RNAcentral.
UGGGGAAUUUUGGACAAUGGGCGAAAGCCUGAUCCAGCAAUGCCGCGUGUGUGAAGAAGGCCUUCGGGUUGUAAAGCACUUUUGUCCGGAAAGAAAUCCUUGGCUCUAAUACAGUCGGGGGAUGACGGUACCGGAAGAAUAAGCACCGGCUAACUACGUGCCAGCAGCCGCGGUAAUACGUAGGGUGCAAGCGUUAAUCGGAAUUACUGGGCGUAAAGCGUGCGCAGGCGGUUUGCUAAGACCGAUGUGAAAUCCCCGGGCUCAACCUGGGAACUGCAUUGGUGACUGGCAGGCUAGAGUAUGGCAGAGGGGGGUUAGAAUUCCACGUGUAGCAGUGAAAUGCGUAGAGAUGUGGAGGAAUACCGAUGGCGAAGGCAGCCCCCUGGGCCAAUACUGACGCUCAUGCACGAAAGCGUGGGGAGCAAACAGGAUUAGAUACCCUGGUAGUCCACGCCCUAAACGAUGUCAACUAGUUGUUGGGGACUUCAUUUCCUUAGUAACGUAGCUAACGCGUGAAGUUGACCGCCUGGGGAGUACGGUCGCAAGAUUAAAACUCAAAUGAAUUGACGGGGUC